RNAcentral lists this ribosomal RNA (705 nucleotides) under uncultured bacterium. RNAcentral's name for it is "bacterial SSU rRNA". It matches the Rfam family "Bacterial small subunit ribosomal RNA", at positions 457 to 1161 of the family's 1533-position model. The record is from RNAcentral.
GAGCCUAUUCGUUUGACGUUAGCGACAGAAGAAGCACCGGCUAACUCCGUGCCAGCAGCCGCGGUAAUACGGAGGGUGCGAGCGUUAAUCGGAAUUACUGGGCGUAAAGCGCAUGCAGGUGGUUUGUUAAGUCAGAUGUGAAAGCCCGGGGCUCAACCUCGGAAUAGCAUUUGAAACUGGCAGACUAGAGUACUGUAGAGGGGGGUAGAAUUUCAGGUGUAGCGGUGAAAUGCGUAGAGAUCUGAAGGAAUACCGGUGGCGAAGGCGGCCCCCUGGACAGAUACUGACACUCAGAUGCGAAAGCGUGGGGAGCAAACAGGAUUAGAUACCCUGGUAGUCCACGCCGUAAACGAUGUCUACUUGGAGGUUGUGGCCUUGAGCCGUGGCUUUCGGAGCUAACGCGUUAAGUAGACCGCCUGGGGAGUACGGUCGCAAGAUUAAAACUCAAAUGAAUUGACGGGGGCCCGCACAAGCGGUGGAGCAUGUGGUUUAAUUCGAUGCAACGCGAAGAACCUUACCUACUCUUGACAUCCAGAGAACUUUCCAGAGAUGGAUUGGUGCCUUCGGGAACUCUGAGACAGGUGCUGCAUGGCUGUCGUCAGCUCGUGUUGUGAAAUGUUGGGUUAAGUCCCGCAACGAGCGCAACCCUUAUCCUUGUUUGCCAGCGAGUAAUGUCGGGAACUCCAGGGAGACUGCCGGUGAUAA